UACGAAGGGGGCUAGCGUUGUCCGGAAUUAUUGGGCGUAAAGCGCGCGCAGGCGGUCCUUUAAGUCUGAUGUGAAAGCCCACGGCUCAACCGUGGAGGGUCAUUGGAAACUGGGGGACUUGAGUACAGAAGAGGAAAGCGGAAUUCCACGUGUAGCGGUGAAAUGCGUAGAGAUGUGGAGGAACACCAGUGGCGAAGGCGACUUACUGGACACAUAUUGACGCUGAGGUGCGAAAGCGUGGGGAGCAAACAGG
This 253-nucleotide ribosomal RNA is filed under the name uncultured bacterium. Its description in RNAcentral is "partial 16S ribosomal RNA". It matches the Rfam family "Bacterial small subunit ribosomal RNA", at positions 524 to 776 of the family's 1533-position model. The record is from RNAcentral.